RNAcentral lists this ribosomal RNA (834 nucleotides) under Rosellinia corticium. RNAcentral describes it as "eukaryotic LSU rRNA". It matches the Rfam family "Eukaryotic large subunit ribosomal RNA", at positions 77 to 938 of the family's 3401-position model. The record is from RNAcentral. Lineage: Eukaryota; Fungi; Ascomycota; Sordariomycetes; Xylariales; Xylariaceae.
GCCCCAGUAACGGCGAGUGAAGCGGCAACAGCUCAAAUUUGAAAUCUGGCCCUCGGGUCCGAGUUGUAAUUUGUAGAGGAUGCUUUUGGCGCGGUGCCUUCCGAGUUCCCUGGAACGGGACGCCUUAGAGGGUGAGAGCCCCGUACGGUUGGACACCAAGCCUCUGUAAAGCUCCUUCGACGAGUCGAGUAGUUUGGGAAUGCUGCUCUAAAUGGGAGGUAAAUUUCUUCUAAAGCUAAAUACUGGCCAGAGACCGAUAGCGCACAAGUAGAGUGAUCGAAAGAUGAAAAGCACUUUGAAAAGAGGGUUAAACAGCACGUGAAAUUGUUGAAAGGGAAGCGUUUGCGACCAGACCUCGCCCCGGCGGAUCAUCCGGCGUUCUCGCCGGUGCACUCCGCCGGGCUGAGGCCAGCAUCGGUUUCCGCGGGGGGACAAAAGCGGGGGGAACGUAGCUCCCUCGGGAGUGUUAUAGCCCCCCGCAUAAUACCCUCGCGGGGACCGAGGACCGCGCUUCGGCAAGGAUGCUGGCGUAAUGGUCGUCAACGACCCGUCUUGAAACACGGACCAAGGAGUCGAACAUUUGUGCGAGUGUUUGGGUGUCAAACCCUCACGCGUAAUGAAGGUGAACGUAGGUGAGAGCCCUCGCGGGCGCAUCAUCGACCGAUCCUGAUGUCUUCGGAUGGAUUUGAGUAAGAGCAUAACUGUUCGGACCCGAAAGAUGGUGAACUAUGCGUGGAUAGGGUGAAGCCAGAGGAAACUCUGGUGGAGGCUCGCAGCGGUUCUGACGUGCAAAUCGAUCGUCAAAUCUGCGCAUGGGGGCGAAAGACUUAUCGA